Molecule: long non-coding RNA, 243 nt
Organism: Sebastes umbrosus (honeycomb rockfish)
Lineage: Eukaryota; Metazoa; Chordata; Actinopteri; Perciformes; Sebastidae
Exons: 3
Source: RefSeq, a predicted model, not a curated record
GGACUUUAAAAGCAUUUUCAGAGGUCUGCACUACGAAGCGAGUUCAACAUACCCAGGGUAUCUUCUCGUUAUCUGGCUUCACUUAACCUAACAAACGAGAUCUCGCUAAACUGUACUAUGAAGCUGGUCAUCAACUCGGUAAGUCAACCCAGGGUUCCUCUGUCUGGAUGUGAGCGCGUUCACAUGAACGAGGAGGUGUUUGCAGCAUCUGACCAAUCACAGACAUGGACAAGUCCACUGACU